UACGUAGGGUGCAGGCGUUAAUCGGAAUUACUGGGCGUAAAGCGCGUGUAGGCGGCUACGCAAGUCGGAUGUGAAAGCCCACGGCUCAACCGUGGAAGUGCACCCGAAACUAUGUAGCUUGAGUUCUGGAGAGGAAGGCGGAAUGCUUGGUGUAGAGGUGAAAUUCGUAGAUAUCAAGCGGAACACCGGUGGCGAAGGCGGCCUUCUGGACAGUGACUGACGCUGAGACGCGAAAGCGUGGGGAGCAAACAGG
RNAcentral lists this ribosomal RNA (253 nucleotides) under uncultured bacterium. RNAcentral's name for it is "partial 16S ribosomal RNA". It matches the Rfam family "Bacterial small subunit ribosomal RNA", at positions 524 to 776 of the family's 1533-position model. The record is from RNAcentral.